AUUGAACGCUGGCGGCAGGCCUAACACAUGCAAGUCGAGCGGAUGAAGAGAGCUUGCUCUCUGAUUCAGCGGCGGACGGGUGAGUAAUGCCUAGGAAUCUGCCUGGUAGUGGGGGACAACGUUUCGAAAGGAACGCUAAUACCGCAUACGUCCUACGGGAGAAAGCAGGGGGACCUUCGGGCCUUGCGCUAUCAGAUGAGCCUAGGUCGGAUUAGCUAGUUGGUGAGGUAAUGGCUCACCAAGGCGACGAUCCGUAACUGGUCUGAGAGGAUGAUCAGUCACACUGGAACUGAGACACGGUCCAGACUCCUACGGGAGGCAGCAGUGGGGAAUAUUGGACAAUGGGCGAAAGCCUGAUCCAGCCAUGCCGCGUGUGUGAAGAAGGUCUUCGGAUUGUAAAGCACUUUAAGUUGGGAGGAAGGGUUGUAGAGUUAAUACUCUGCAAUUUUGACGUUACCGACAGAAUAAGCACCGGCUAACUCUGU
RNAcentral lists this ribosomal RNA (485 nucleotides) under uncultured bacterium. RNAcentral describes it as "bacterial SSU rRNA". It matches the Rfam family "Bacterial small subunit ribosomal RNA", at positions 30 to 506 of the family's 1533-position model. The record is from RNAcentral.